This 355-nucleotide unclassified non-coding RNA is filed under the name soil metagenome. RNAcentral describes it as "partial contains 5.8S ribosomal RNA, internal transcribed spacer 2, and large subunit ribosomal RNA". The stretch from base 1 to 120 matches the Rfam family "5.8S ribosomal RNA", at positions 35 to 154 of the family's 154-position model. The record is from RNAcentral.
GAUGAAGAACGUAGCGAAAUGCGAUAAGUAAUGUGAAUUGCAGAAUUCAGUGAAUCAUCGAAUCUUUGAACGCACAUUGCGCCCGCCAGUAUUCUGGCGGGCAUGCCUGUCCGAGCGUCAUUUCAACCCUCGAACCCCUCCGGGGGGUCGGCGUUGGGGAUCGGCCCUGCCUCUUGGCGGUGGCCGUCUCCGAAAUACAGUGGCGGUCUCGCCGCAGCCUCUCCUGCGCAGUAGUUUGCACACUCGCAUCGGGAGCGCGGCGCGUCCACAGCCGUUAAACACCCAACUUCUGAAAUGUUGACCUCGGAUCAGGUAGGAAUACCCGCUGAACUUAAGCAUAUAAAUAAGCGGAGGA